CUUUCUUUGCUGGCGACCGGCGCACGGGUGAGUAACACGUAUCCAACCUGCCCUUUACUCGGGGAUAGCCUUUCGAAAGAAAGAUUAAUACCCGAUAGCAUAAUGAUUCCGCAUGGUUUCAUUAUUAAAGGAUUCCGGUAAAGGAUGGGGAUGCGUUCCAUUAGGUUGUUGGUGAGGUAACGGCCCACCAAGCCUUCGAUGGAUAGGGGUUCUGAGAGGAGGUCCCCCACAUUGGAACUGAGACACGGUCCAA
RNAcentral lists this ribosomal RNA (253 nucleotides) under uncultured bacterium. RNAcentral's name for it is "partial 16S ribosomal RNA". It matches the Rfam family "Bacterial small subunit ribosomal RNA", at positions 79 to 334 of the family's 1533-position model. The record is from RNAcentral.